UGCUGUUUAGCUCAGUUGGGUAGAGCGAUCGCAUGAGGAGCGGUAAGCGCCGGUUCGAGUCCGGCAAUGGCGA
This 73-nucleotide transfer RNA is filed under the name Rhodospirillaceae bacterium. RNAcentral's name for it is "tRNA-Leu". It matches the Rfam family "tRNA". From Rfam's summary of the family: Transfer RNA (tRNA) molecules are approximately 80 nucleotides in length. Their secondary structure includes four short double-helical elements and three loops (D, anti-codon, and T loops). The record is from RNAcentral. Lineage: Bacteria; Pseudomonadati; Pseudomonadota; Alphaproteobacteria; Rhodospirillales; Rhodospirillaceae.